Molecule: ribosomal RNA, 440 nt
Filed under: uncultured Duganella sp.
Lineage: Bacteria; Pseudomonadati; Pseudomonadota; Betaproteobacteria; Burkholderiales; Oxalobacteraceae
Description: bacterial SSU rRNA
Rfam family: Bacterial small subunit ribosomal RNA
Source: RNAcentral
GGAAUUUUGGACAAUGGGCGCAAGCCUGAUCCAGCAAUGCCGCGUGAGUGAAGAAGGCCUUCGGGUUGUAAAGCUCUUUUGUCAGGGAAGAAACGGGUUUUUCUAAUACAGAGAUCUAAUGACGGUACCUGAAGAAUAAGCACCGGCUAACUACGUGCCAGCAGCCGCGGUAAUACGUAGGGUGCAAGCGUUAAUCGGAAUUACUGGGCGUAAAGCGUGCGCAGGCGGUUUUGUAAGACUGUCGUGAAAUCCCCGGGCUCAACCUGGGAAUGGCGAUGGUGACUGCAAGGCUAGAGUUUGGCAGAGGGGGGUAGAAUUCCACGUGUAGCAGUGAAAUGCGUAGAUAUGUGGAGGAACACCGAUGGCGAAGGCAGCCCCCUGGGUCAAAACUGACGCUCAUGCACGAAAGCGUGGGGAGCAAACAGGAUUAGAUACCCUUG